This is a long non-coding RNA of Rhagoletis zephyria (snowberry fruit fly), 2555 nucleotides long. RefSeq lists it as uncharacterized. The record is from RefSeq and is a predicted model, not a curated record. Lineage: Eukaryota; Metazoa; Arthropoda; Insecta; Diptera; Tephritidae.
AGGGAGUCUUUAUUCGAAAAAUAAAAACAAAUAAACAAUAAACAUGAUUAGCAAGUAAAAUUCGCUGAUGCAAAAACAAUAAACAUAGUUAACGGUAAUUACUUUACACUAAUUCUGACUUUGAACUCACAUUUACAUAAAUAUUAUUGGCAAAAAUUUUUUAACAAACGAUAAACUUUAGCACCAUUUUAAGUAUCUUUUCAACAAUAUUACCAAAUUCGAAUCCUAUAUUCUUAUUUAUAUUUGUUAUUGAUUACAGCUGCAUACACGUUGUUGGUGUUAUCUACGUCCUCUUUAAAGUUGAUCGCAUUCUCAAGUCUUUGUUGUAUACGUAGGCUUUCUAAUGUCAUUCUCCUUUUUACCCCUCUUUCGGUGUCCAAAAUUCUCGUAUUCCCGAAGUCCGCAAAGUGUUCGUGCUUCGUCAAGUGUUGUGCCAGUGCUGUUGUCAUCUUUUGUUUCUCUCAUCCGCUUUAUGUUCGCUUAUUCUUGUACCCAAUGAUCUUUUUGUUGUGCCUACGUAGCAUUUGUUACAGCUUUCGGUAUCAUUUCCCUUACAUUCUAUUUGAUACACCACAUUAUGUUGUUGUUCCUUCAGAAUUCUGUCUUUUGUUUUAGUGUACAGUUUGCUUAUUAUGUUGUGCGGUCUGUGAGCAUAUGUAAUAUCUUCAUUCUUUAUAGUUCUCCUGAGCGCCUGGUUAUUUGUUAGUCCUGGUACGUAAGUUACUCCAAUGUACUUUUUAUUUUUAAUUGUGUUGUUAGCCUGAAGAUCUUUAUUUUGAUUUGUUUGUUUACUUUUGUUUAUCGUCGUUUCUAUUAAAUUGUUAACUAGCGCAUGCGGGUAGCCGUUUUUGUGCAGAAUGCUUUUAAUUUUAUUUUUGUUCUCCUCAUACUAAAAGUAUUGAAUGCACAAAACACAAAAAUUAAAUUUACGGUUGAAAGAGAGAAAGACAAUAAAAUUGCCUUCCUAGACAUAGAGGUGCAUAGAAAACGGAAUACAAUAUUGCUAAACUGGCAUGCGAAAUCCAUCGCGUCGGGUAGACUUAUUAAUUUCCAUUCAAAUCACCCAUGGAAUCAGAAAAUAAACACCGCUGCUAGCCUGAUCAAAAAGGUGUACAUACUAAGCAACAACGAGUUCGCGGAGGAGAACUUACAUCCUGGAAUGGACCAGAUAAGUAUAUCUGGAGAUCAUCUGCAUAUGUAUGAGCAUUUACAUAUCGGAAAGUCAAUAAAAUAUUGACGAAAGCGCUAAAUAGCAACGGACCCAAAGUGGACCCUGGGGAACGCCACAGAUCACAGACUUUGUCUGUGAGGAUACUGAGCCAAUCUUCACACGCUGGGUUCUGCCUGAUAAAUAACUUUUCAUGAGGGACAGUGCAUUUUUGCCAAAGCCGAAGUAGUAAGUGAGCUUUGAGCAGAGCAAUGUAUUAUCAACGGAGUCAAAUGCUUAGGAGAAGUCUAGCAUUAGAUUUGAUUUUCAGUAUACAUCUAGCCACAUCACAUUCUGUUACGGUUGAAAAUUCAAACGGUACGCCCAGGUAUGAAGCGGAAGUUCACGGAACAAAUUGAGACAAGCCACCAUUAGACAUAGCACUAGAAACAAACACAUCAUUCAGACUAUCAACAUUCAACAUACAUUCAGUUUUUUCAUUAGCUUGUAUUCGAAGGUUUUUAAUAGGGUGACACCGAGGGAAGAGAGGAAUCUAGCUUGGCUGAUAAGAAUCUUUGCUUUUCAGCUCUAACAAUUGCAGUGGCUUUAUUUCUUGCCACGCGAAAAGAGUCCCAGUUAGCUUUUGAGCGAUUUUGCUUCCAAAGGCGAUAAGCUUUUGUUCGCGCUUUUAUAGCUUCCCUGACUUUGGUGUUAAACCAAGGACAAGGUGAUGCUUUACCAUAACGCAGCGGAACAGCCAAAAUACCAACAUUCAUUCCAAACAACAUUUUCUAGCUCCAAACGCAGUGCAUUUAGGUUGAUUGAGCGAAAGUCUCUGAAGGUAUACACUUUUCCACUGCAAGAAUCACUAAAGUGAAUGUCAAAAGAGCAAAAAGUUAAAUCAUGAAAUUUGGUCAAAUUUUAACACAGAGGAAUGAUCGGACACGACAAAAUAAUCAAGAAGACUAGGAUUACAAUUAUUACAGAAUCUAGUAGGUGUUGAAGAAUUAACGAUGGAGAGACCAAGAUUUGAGACAUCAUCUGAGAAGGAGGAACAUAUUUUAUCACGGACAAGAAUAUUGUUAUUAAAAUCACCACAGAGUAUAACAUUAUCAUAGUCAAUAAGCAUCGUGGACAGUUUCUCAAAUAAAGGACUUGUACAAGAGGAUCUAUUAGGAUUAUACACACAAGAGGCAAGAACUUUUUUUAGGCGAUCGGUCAAUUCAACAAAUAAAAACUCAAUUUCCUCAGUACUUGAUUCGCAAACAAGCUUCAUGUUUAUGUGGUUCUUGCAGUAAAUUGCAACACCGCCACCUCUUUUGCCAAUUCGAUCAUUUCGCAUAAGCUUAUAAUUUCUUAUGCUAAAGUGGACAUCACUAACAUCCUUAGGGAACCAAGUUUCUGACAC